AUGAUUGAAGCUUCUUCCUUCAUUUGGGCUCUCCUCCUUCUCACCUCUGUCUAUCAGACAUCUGACCAACGACAUAUUUCUAGUGUGGGAGAUAUUUUUGAGAGUACAGGAAAUCCAGAGGUGGAUGAUGUCCUUUCAAAGAUCCCAUUUGACAUCGGAGAUGUAACGAAUCAACAAAGCGUUAAUGUGACGACGGUAAAGAUUCAGCUAUGUACAGGAAUAAAAGAAGAGCUGGGAUCCGUGAAGAUGGAGCUUGAGCAAACAGCUCGCCGUUACAAUGAGCUGGAUGAGGAGACCUUGGGGUUGAGGCGCGAGGUCAGGCAGCUUCAAAUGAGACUGUCUACAUGCAGCUCGACCGCGUCGGCCAUCGCUGGGUCCUACCAAACCCAGCUGCAGAUAAAAAUGAACCAGCUGCUGGAAGUUAUCAACAGUGAAACAUUUCAAAUUCUGAAAAUCAUGGCUCUCACAAGGGAGGUGCAAGUUUUGCAGAAGAAAAUUCAACUUGCUUCUAAAAAUACCAAUAAAACCAGUGAGAUGAGAGCUCUGCAGAGAGAACUUCAAGAAAAGGUUGUGGAGCUGAACUCAAAGAGAGAGCGAUUCGAGAACAGCCACUCAAAUGCUGCUCUUAUUCUACAGAUAAUCUCACUGCAAAGCCAGAUCUGGGAUUUAUAUCAAACUGAGGCAAAGGGGGGAGCUGCUGUUCAGCCAGAUCCGAGCAUUCUGGCUCUACAAGAACAGCUCAACAUGAAGAUCAAGGAAUUGCAAAGCAAAGAGGAGACCAUCACAGCUAUGCUGGAGAUGAUCUCUGUGCACAGUAAGAUCACAGUGAUCCAGAAAAUGAUACGACACCUCACAGAAGAAUCCAAGAACAGGAAUGCGGCUCUCCUUUUGCAAUGGAGACAAAAAGGUGAGUUGCUGGCAAAGAAGAUUUCCCAACUGGCGGAUGAUGCAAAAAACCAAGAACUGACCAAAGAAAUUCUCAAGCUGCAGUAUGAGUUGGGUCAACUGGCCAAGCUUUUAAACGUUAAAGAGACCGUGGAAGCCCAGCUCACAGCUAAAACAGUUGAACUGGAGGUAGAGAAGUCACGGGAGGAAGCUCUGCAGAAAAAGCUGGAGCAGACAGACUAUGCUACAUCACAGCUGAUCUUCAAGAUCAUUAGCAUCAUGGAGGAGCUGAGGGAACAGCGGAUUGUGGCGCCAACAGGUGAAACCCAGGACAUUUUAACUCUCCUACAAACCUAUAAAAAAGACUAUGCUGAAGCCAAGACUGAAAUAAAGGAUCUGAAGGAAAAAUUGGAGAGGACGCAAGAGGAGUGUUCAGGGCUUGAAGAAAGACAUGAAAAGUUGAAGACGGAGCUUGAGCAGAAGAUCAUGAAACUCAACAGAACGGCGGAUUCCAAAGCAGCUCUCGUUCUAAACGUGUUAAACCUGUACGGAGAGAUAAACGCUUUGAGGGAGCAGAUCUCAAAGUCAGGUGAACCAGAAGUGCUUCUAAAACUAAGGAGACAGUUGGAGCAGAAACAAGACGAGCUGAACUUGAAGACGGCAGAGAUUCAGAGACUGGUUUCUAACCCACAAACAAUGUUAACAAUUAUUGAUCUGCAGAAUAAAAUCUGGGAUUUUCAGAAAAAAGACACAAACUGGACAAAUGAGGAGCUUAAAGCUUUGCAAACAAAACUGGAUUCUUUGGUGGAUGGAAUAGACAGUGAUGGUGAAGAUAACACAUUUCAGGCACUAAAAAUCCUGACACUGCAGAGUCAGGUUGAGUAUCUACAGAACCAACUGUCCAACCUGAAGCUGUCGCACAACUCCACACAAACUCAACUCCAAAAUGAGCUGGCGGCAAAAGAGAAUGAACUGAAGCGUUACAUCUUUGAAAUGAUGGAGAAGGACCAGACAAAUGGAAAACUUAUUUUAGACAUUGCUGAACUCCAAAUCCAACUCAAUGAAAUCGAAAAACAAAAGGAAACGGAAGAUAAAACGAGUGCUGCAACAAUUUCCAAGCUGACGAAGCAACUGCAACUCCAAGAGGAGGAAAACAAUCAAAAUAAAGCUUUGAUUAUUACCCUGCAGAACAAGAUAAACCAGAGAGAAACGCAAUGUUCUGAAUACGAGAAGAAAAUUAAAGAUCUCCAGAAUGACAUAAAUACAAACCUUAAGGAACUCAAAGGAAAAUCUGACACCAUAAGUUCACUUGUUCUUCAAAUUUCUACGUUAAGUGUGGAAGUGGAGCAGCUGGGAAACCAACUCCAGAACUCUGUGUCCACAUCUAAAGUGGAAGAAUUAAAGGCAAUUAUAGAGGAAAAGAACAAAGAACUGGAACAAAAAGCUGAAGAACUUAAAGAAAGGAGUCCUGAAGCACAAAGACGUGAGCACAACCCAAACGAAGCACCUAAAGGGGCCAAAAUUAUCUAG
RNAcentral lists this long non-coding RNA (2415 nucleotides) under Oryzias javanicus (javanese ricefish). Its description in RNAcentral is "lncRNA (ENSOJAG00000009731.1)". The record is from RNAcentral. Lineage: Eukaryota; Metazoa; Chordata; Actinopteri; Beloniformes; Adrianichthyidae.